AGGGUUUGAUUAUGGCUCAGGAUGAACGCUGGCGGUAUGCGUUACACAUGCAAGUCGUACGGAAGUUUUUAACUUAAGUGGCGGACGGGUGAGUAACACGUAAGAAUUUACCUUUAGGAAGAGGAUAACAAUUGGAAACGAUUGCUAAAACUCUAUAUGCAUUUUUUGUGAAAUGGGUUACCAGCCUAAAGAAAAGCUUGCGGCUGAUUAGCUUGUUGGUAAGGGAUAAAGGCCUACCAAGGCCACGAUUCAGGAUUCUCGUUUGAAAGGAUGAUCAGACACACCUGGAACUGAGACACCGGUCCAGACUCCUACGGGAGGCAGCAGUGGGGAAUUUUCCGCAAUGGGCGAAAGCCUGACCGGAGCAAUACCGCGUGAGGGAUGAAUGCCUUAUGAGUUGUAAACCUUCUUUUUCCAGGGAGGAAGUAAGUGACGUGUACCUGAAGAAUAAGCAUCGGCUAACUCCGUGCCAGCAGCCGCGGUAAUACGGAGGAUGCAAGUGUUAUCCGGGAAUCACUGGGCGUAAAGCGUCUGUAGGUGGUAAAAUAAGUCAACUGUUAAAUAUUGGGGCUUAACUUCAAAACUGCAGUCGAAACUAUUUAACUAGAGUAUAGUAGGGGUAAAGGGAAUUUCCAGUGGAGUGGUGAAAUACGUAGAGAUUGGAAAGAAAGACCGAUAGCGAAGGCACUUUACUGGGCUAUAACUGACACUCAGAGACGAAAGCUAGGGUAGCAAAUGAGAUUAGAUACCCCAGUAGUCCUAACCGUAAACAAUGGAUACUAGAUGUUGGGCAGAUCGACCUGUGCAGUAUUAAAGCUAACGCGUUAAGUAUCCCGCCUGGGAAGUAUGCUCGCAAGAGUGAAACUCAAAGGAAUUGACGGGGGCCCGCACAAGCGGUGGAGCAUGUGGUUUAAUUCGAUGCAACGUCGAAGAACCUUACCAGGGUUUGACAUGAUACGAAAUUUUUUGAAAUAAAAAAGUGCUUUUUAAGAACGGUAUACACAGGUGGUGCAUGGCUGUCGGUCAGCUCGUGUCCUGAGGAUGUUGGGUUAAGUCCCGCAACGAGCGCAACCCUUAUUUUUAGUUGCCAAUUGGAACUCUAAAAAAACUGCCGGUUAUAAGCCGGAGGAAGGCGGGGAUGAGCGUCAAGUCAGCAUGCCCCUUACACCCUGGCCUACACACGUGCCUACAUUGGUGUAAGACAAUGAGAACCUGAAUCUGCGAAGAAUAGCGGAUCUAUAAACUCACUCCAAGUUCGGAUUGCAGGCUGCAACUCGCCUGCAUAAAGUUGGAAUCGCUAGUAAUCGCUGGUCAGCUAUACAGCGGUGAUUUCGUUCCCGGGCCUUGUACACACCGCCCGUCACACCAUGGAAGCUGGUUAUACCCAAAGUUAUUACUUUAACCAUUUGUGGAUGAGGAUACCUAAGGUAGAAUUAGUGACUGGGGUGAAGUCGUAACAAGGUAGCC
This 1467-nucleotide ribosomal RNA is filed under the name uncultured diatom. RNAcentral describes it as "bacterial SSU rRNA". It matches the Rfam family "Bacterial small subunit ribosomal RNA". The record is from RNAcentral. Lineage: Eukaryota; Bacillariophyta.